Long non-coding RNA from Sitophilus oryzae (rice weevil), 897 nucleotides. RefSeq lists it as uncharacterized. The record is from RefSeq and is a predicted model, not a curated record. The transcript is spliced from 3 exons. Lineage: Eukaryota; Metazoa; Arthropoda; Insecta; Coleoptera; Curculionidae.
UUAGACCAUAUUAGAUGUAAAUAAUUAUUUACAUAAUUUAAAACGUCCUAACCUAAACAUAUUUAAUACAUUAUCACUGAACUACAAAAAAGAGAUUUUACUCCAAUCAAAAUGAAAUCUUUAUUUAAAGAAAAUUUAAGUAUCAUAAAACAUAAAGUACGUUGUAUGGCUGAAUCACCAUCGGUUUUGAACAAUGGUCAAAGGGAAUUAGACGCAAGUCCCUUUGAGCCGUCAGUAGCUUUAACAGGUAACAUAUAUUGAUGAAGAUCACUUAUAUUUUGUAGAAAUACCUACUUGAACCAAGAUAACUUGGGCGUUUGAUGUAUAUUUUUAGCUUCUGAGAGAUUGAUCUUAAAAGAAAUAAAAAAGUUGAAUUGGGAAAUACAGGAUAUGAAAAAAACAGUAAACAAGAUUCAGGACCUGUUGCUCACAAUUAGCAUGAUUAAUAUUAAGUUCUAGUGAAGAACCUUUUCAACUACCAAUUGAGAACCAGGCUUUACUAGAAUCUAUAGAGCAGCAUUUAGAAGAUGAAAAAAAUAUUGAACUUUUGGCUCAACGGAUUAUACCUUUGUGGAGGGGACAAUACCCACAAAUCUGUUUUUUUAUUAAUGAAAAAACUGUUUGCCAGAGAUGUAGCAAUGCUCUAUUCUGGAUCAUGAAAGAAGGGAAAAUUAUCAUUUCAGAAGUUGUCAAGUUAUAAGGCUAUUAUAAGUAUAAAUUUUAAAUUGUUUUGGCGCCACGGAUGCAGGUAUUAACAAAUCCAUAUCUUUGUAUUUGACAGGAGCAGCAGACAGGGAAUGAAGACGUAAAAACAGAAAUGCCCAAUAUAUACAGUUAUUUUGAAACAGAAAAAUAUUUUUCGUUUUUUUAUUUAUUAUCAGGAUAACAGCUUAUUUU